UACGUUCCCGGGCCUUGUACACACCGCCCGUCACACCAUGGGAGUCGGUAGGACCCGACGGCCCCGUGCCAACCGCGAAGGGGGGCGAUUACCACGGCAGGGUUCGUGACUGGGGUG
Molecule: ribosomal RNA, 117 nt
Filed under: uncultured bacterium
Lineage: Bacteria
Description: partial 16S ribosomal RNA
Source: RNAcentral